RNAcentral lists this ribosomal RNA (410 nucleotides) under uncultured microorganism. RNAcentral describes it as "bacterial SSU rRNA". It matches the Rfam family "Bacterial small subunit ribosomal RNA", at positions 509 to 917 of the family's 1533-position model. The record is from RNAcentral.
CAGCCGCCGCGGUAAUACGUAGGGGGCGAGCGUUGUCCGGAAUUAUUGGGCGUAAAGCGCGCGCAGGCGGUCCUUUAAGUCUGAUGUGAAAGCCCACGGCUCAACCGUGGAGGGUCAUUGGAAACUGGGGGACUUGAGUGCAGGAGAGGAGAGCGGAAUUCCACGUGUAGCGGUGAAAUGCGUAGAGAUGUGGAGGAACACCAGUGGCGAAGGCGGCUCUCUGGCCUGUAACUGACGCUGAGGCGCGAAAGCGUGGGGAGCAAACAGGAUUAGAUACCCGGGUAGUCCACGCCGUAAACGAUGAGUGCUAAGUGUUAGAGGGGUCACACCCUUUAGUGCUGUAGCUAACGCGAUAAGCACUCCGCCUGGGGAGUACGGCCGCAAGGCUGAAACUUAAAGGAAUUGGCGGG